RNAcentral lists this ribosomal RNA (901 nucleotides) under uncultured bacterium. Its description in RNAcentral is "bacterial SSU rRNA". It matches the Rfam family "Bacterial small subunit ribosomal RNA", at positions 8 to 916 of the family's 1533-position model. The record is from RNAcentral.
AGAGUUUGAUCCUGGCUCAGGACGAACGCUGGCGGCGUGCCUAAUGCAUGCAAGUCGAGCGGGCUACGAUCUUCGGAUUGUAGCUUAGCGGCGAACGGGUGAGUAACACGUAGGUAAUCUACCCUUCAGAGGAGGACAACCUCAGGAAACUGAGGCUAAACCUUCAUACGUUCACUGGUAGGGAUACUGGUGAAGAAAGAGUUACCUUAGUGGUAGCUGCUGAAGGAUGAGCCUGCGGCCCAUCAGGUAGUUGGUGAGGUAACGGCUCACCAAGCCGAAGACGGGUAACCGGUCUGAGAGGAUGUCCGGUCACACUGGGACUGAGACACGGCCCAGACUCCUACGGGAGGCAGCAGCAGGGAAUCUUGGGCAAUGGGCGAAAGCCUGACCCAGCGACGCCGCGUGGAGGAAGAAGUCCUUCGGGGCGUAACUCCUGGACUGGGGGACGAGUAAGGACGGUACCCCAGUAGAAAGGGACGGCUAACUACGUGCCAGCAGCCGCGGUAAAACGUAGGUCCCGAGCGUUGUUCGGAUUCACUGGGUGUAAAGGGCGCGUAGGUGGUUGUCUGUGUCUCAUGUGAAAACUCAGGGCUCAACUCUGAGAUUGCGUGGGAAACUAGGCAGCUAGAGGACGGUAGAGGGGAGUGGAAUUCCCGGUGUAGCGGUAAAAUGCGUAGAUAUCGGGAGGAACACCGGUGGCGAAGGCGGCUCUCUGGGCCGAUCCUGACGCUGAGGCGCGAAAGCUAGGGGGAGCGAACCGGAUUAGAUACCCGGGUAGUCCUAGCCGUAAACGAUGGGUGCUAGGUGUUGGGGGGUAAAGACCCUUCAGUGCCGAACCCACGCGAUAAGCAUCCCACCUGGGGAGUACGGCCGCAAGGUUGAAACUCAAAUGAAUUGACGG